UCCCCACACAAGCCCCCCUUCUCACCUGUCUUAUCUGCUGAGUUCCCACAAGCCACAUCAUUCGAAAAUAGGAUCGCCUUACUUUAAAAACACCACUGGCGAAAAGCACUGAUCUAUGAGCGCUUCUUCACAGGGGCCCUGUUGGCCUUUGGGGCAGAACAAGUCCUGGUCCCACAGGGCUGGACUGGAUGAGGCAUGCUUGGUCCCUGCCCAGUAAACGCUAGCAGCAGCCCCCAGUGGUCCUGAUGACCAAAUGAGGUGCAGGGAGUGGGGGGCAGGGGCUGGCCUAUCCAUCCAACUGAGAAGCACUUCUCCAACAACUGAGAGUCAAGACGUGGAGCAACCAGCCUAAAGCCAUGGCACAGCAGACCACUCACCCUGGGCUUUUUGCUGAGCACUCAGCAGCAGUUGCUGUGAAGACAGGUAUCCCAGCAGGGGAACGCUGAGACUGCAAAAGGUUCCUCCAUCAGCUGGGGGAAACGUGUGCCUGGACAGACAGCAGACGCUCCCGGAUGGACAGAUGUCCAGCAUGCCAAGUGUUUCGCCCAGCUGCCCUGGCCCUGGAGCAGGCUCAUCAAGAAGGGAGACCCUGUCAGAGCACAGCCCCCUUCUUUCUCUGGCACCAGGGCCAAAGUAAUCCGCCGGCCUGGCCACAGAGGGAGAGC
Bos taurus (domestic cattle) is the source of this 665-nucleotide long non-coding RNA. NCBI's taxonomy places the organism in Eukaryota, Metazoa, Chordata, Mammalia, Artiodactyla, Bovidae. The record is from Ensembl.